Molecule: unclassified non-coding RNA, 433 nt
Filed under: soil metagenome
Description: partial contains 5.8S ribosomal RNA, internal transcribed spacer 2, and large subunit ribosomal RNA
Rfam family: 5.8S ribosomal RNA (bases 1-120)
Source: RNAcentral
GAUGAAGAACGUAGCGAAAUGCGAUACGUAAUGUGAAUUGCAGAAUUCAGUGAAUCAUCGAAUCUUUGAACGCAUAUUGCGCUCUCUGGUAUUCCGGAGAGCAUGCUUGUUUGAGUAUCAGUAAACACCUCAACUUCCAUAUCUUUUUUGAAAUGGGAGUUGGACUUGAGUGAUCCCAACGCUUUUACUCACCGAAAAGUGGCGGGUUACUUGAAAUGCAGGUGCAGCUGGACUUUUCUCUGAGCUAUAAGCAUAUCUAUUUAGUCUGCCUAAAAAACAGAUUAUUACCUUUGCUGCAGCUAACAUAAAGGAGAUUAGUUCUUGUGCUGACUGAUGCAGGAUUCACAAAGACAGGCUUCGGCCGACUUUGUAAACUCGAUCUCAAAUCAAGUAAGACUACCCGCUGAACUUAAGCAUAUCAAUAAGCGGAGGA